UCCGUGUUAACCACGGCAGUCUCUCUAGAGUGCCCAACUUAAUGCUGGCAACUAAAGAUAGGGGUUGCGCUCGUUGAGGGACUUAACCCGACAUGCCACCACACGAGCUGACGACAGCCAUGCAGCACCUGUCUCUUUGUCGUAUUGCUACGAAAGUUGCAUCUCUGCAAUUGUCAAAGGAUGUCAAACCUAGGUAAGGUUCUGCGCGUUGCUUCGAAUUAAACCACAUAAUCCACCGCUUGUGCGGGCUCCCGUCAAUUCCUUUGAGUUUUAGUCUUGCGACCGUACUUCCCAGGCGGGGUACUUAUUGCGUUAGCUCCGGUUCCGCAGGGGUCAACUCCCACGAAACCUAGUACCCAUCGUUUACAGCAUGGACUAC
This 379-nucleotide unclassified non-coding RNA is filed under the name uncultured Oligoflexales bacterium. RNAcentral's name for it is "contains 16S-23S intergenic spacer region". The record is from RNAcentral. Lineage: Bacteria; Pseudomonadati; Bdellovibrionota; Oligoflexia; Oligoflexales.